This 460-nucleotide ribosomal RNA is filed under the name uncultured bacterium. RNAcentral describes it as "partial 16S ribosomal RNA". It matches the Rfam family "Bacterial small subunit ribosomal RNA", at positions 338 to 795 of the family's 1533-position model. The record is from RNAcentral.
CCUACGGGGGGCAGCAGUGAGGAAUAUUGGUCAAUGGACGAGAGUCUGAACCAGCCAAGUAGCGUGAAGGAUGACUGCCCUAUGGGUUGUAAACUUCUUUUAUAUGGGAAUAAAAUGUUCCACGUGUGGGAUUUUGUAUGUACCAUAUGAAUAAGGAUCGGCUAACUCCGUGCCAGCAGCCGCGGUAAUACGGAGGAUCCGAGCGUUAUCCGGAUUUAUUGGGUUUAAGGGGAGCGUAGGUGGAUUGUUAAGUCAGUUGUGAAAGUUUGCGGCUCAACCGGAAAAUUGCAGUUGAAACUGGCAGUCUUGAGUACAGUAGAGGUGGGCGGAAUUCGUGGUGUAGCGGUGAAAUGCUUAGAUAUCACGAAGAACUCCGAUUGCGAAGGCAGUUCACUGGACUGCAACUGACACUGAGGCUCGAAAGUGUGGGUAUCAAACAGGAUUAGAUACCCUGGUAGUC